Molecule: long non-coding RNA, 1582 nt
Filed under: Gallus gallus (chicken)
Lineage: Eukaryota; Metazoa; Chordata; Aves; Galliformes; Phasianidae
Source: RNAcentral
CCUUCUUGAUGGAAAAGAGCACUACAGAAACAGUAUCUGAGAUCAGGGCAAAUUCCCCUAACAAACUUACAGCAGGGAUCACAGAAUUCUGGCCACAGAAUUCCAUGUAAUUUGCUUUUACUCUCUCCAUAUGUUAAUAUUUUAGAAAACUAGCCUUGGGUGGUGUCCUCUAUUGGCCAAUCCAGCCUGACUACUCAAAAUAAAAACCAAAGCACCUCCCUCCUUUAAGGAAGCAGUUCUCAGGACUCAGUGCUUCUGCUGUGUGGUCACAGCACAUUUAACAAUAUCAAAAUUAAAAAGGUAAGCAGCAUAACACAAAAUUAGUAACAUGCAUACCCUGUCCAAUCACAAAGUAGUGAUUUAGCUAUGUUCUCUAUGUCAGGAACACCUCCUUUUUUCAGCAUACCCCUUUUCUGAGCAAGUAAGCUUAAAAGCUCUUCAGUGUUCUUGAAAUCUGGGAUACUGUAGAACAUCAUUACCUGCUGCUUAUUGCAGUGACUCAGAACAGCAUCCACUGCUUUAACCAUGUUCACUGAGCACGAUUCCCCAGUGUGUAUGAUACUUCUCAGUGCCAGAGUCACAGCACUGUUGGUAGGAUCUGCAACUAUGCUUGGACUGUCUAAAAUCUUCAUCUGUUUAUCAAUACGCACAGCUUGCAUGGACUUGGUGACACCCCUGGCUGGCCCAACAUCACAAACACGAUCUUUCUUAAUACUAUUGAUUAUGCUGCUCUUCCCCACGUUAGGAAAACCUACUAACCCAACCUGAAUGGCUCUGUCCUGAGUCCUGCCAUACUCCUGAAGAAGUUUCACAAGGCAUUCACUUCCAAAACUUUCAGUGUGUCUUGAUAAAUCAAUACGUGCCCUUCUUCUCGAGAAAGUCUGCAUAUUCCUGUCCUUCAGCAGCGUUGCUGAUUUAAAGGCAACUGUUGGAAAUUCCUUCUUCAAAUAAUUCAACCACUUCUCUAAGUUCUCCUUUGGCACUAAAUCAAUUUUGUUCAGAACCAACAAUAGCUUUUUUUCUCCUCCAGAGCAAGUAAUAGCUUGCUCCAGCUGGGGACACCGACAGCCCAUCGGAUCUCUUGCGUCUAAAACCUCCAGAACCACAUCUGAGGCCUCAAUCACUUUCUCAAGCUCACUGUGAAAUGAUUUCUUUGCAUUUUUAUCCAGCGCUUUCUUGGUCUUCUUUGCUUCAGAUUUGCCAGAGGAUUCCUUCCCCUCAGUCUGCUCCUGGAUCGCAGCCGCGCUCCUCUUGGCAUCGAGCUUCCUCCUCUUCUCGAGUUCUUUCUGCCUAUCGAGCUUCUGCUUCCGCUUCAGUUCUUCGAGCCGCUGCUUCCUCAGCUCGGCCUCCCUCAGCAGUGCUUCCUUGAACGGCGCCGCUCCAGGCACGCCGGGGUCCUUGCGGGGCUUCUUGCGGCCGCGCUUCUUGGCCUCCUUCCGGACCUUGCGGUGGUGCUCCCGGAUCUUCUUCUGGAUCUUGUACCGCUUGUGGCACGUCAGCCGCUUGCUCGCCUUCCUCAGCUUCGGCCGCUUCAUGGCGCCGCCGCCGUCGCCGUCGCGCACGCGGAGCCGCCCGCCCGCCC